Molecule: ribosomal RNA, 460 nt
Filed under: uncultured bacterium
Lineage: Bacteria
Description: partial 16S ribosomal RNA
Rfam family: Bacterial small subunit ribosomal RNA
Source: RNAcentral
CCUACGGGAGGCAGCAGUGAGGAAUAUUGGUCAAUGGGCGCGAGCCUGAACCAGCCAAGUAGCGUGAAGGAUGACUGCUCUACGGGUUGUAAACUUCUUUUAUAAAGGAAUAAAGUUAUGCACGUGUGCCUUUUUGCAUGUACUCUAUGAAUAAGCAUCGGCUAACUCCGUGCCAGCAGCCGCGGUAAUACGGAGGAUCCGAGCGUUAUCCGGAUUUAUUGGGUUUAAAGGGGGCGUAGAUGGGUUGUUAAGUCAGUUGUGAAAGUUUGCGGCUCAACCGUAAAAUUGCAGUUGAUACUGGAAGUCUUGAGUACAGUUGAGGUAGGCGGAAUUCGUGGUGUAGCGGUGAAAUGCUUAGAUAUCACGAAGAACUCCGAUUGCGAAGGCAGCUUACUAAGCUGCCACUGACAUUGAUGCUCGAAAGUGUGGGUAUCAAACAGGAUUAGAUACACCAGUAGUC